ACUCAAAGGAAUAGACGGGGGCCCGCACAAGCGGUGGAGCAUGUGGUUUAAUUCGAUGCAACGCGAAGAACCUUACCAGGUCUUGACAUCCAACGAAUCUUUAGGAAACUAGGGAGUGCCUUCGGGAGCGUUGAGACAGGUGGUGCAUGGUUGUCGUCAGCUCGUGUCGUGAGAUGUUGGGUUAAGUCCCGCAACGAGCGCAACCCUUGCUAUUAGUUGCUAACAUUUCGGAUGAGCACUCUAAUGGGACUGCCCGUGACAAGCGGGAGGAAGGUGGGGAUGACGUCAAAUCAUCAUGCCCUUUAUGAUCUGGGCUACACACGUGCUACAAUGGAUGGUACAGAGAGCAGCAAGACCGUGAGGUGGAGCGAAUCUCAUAAAGCCAUUCUCAGUUCGGAUUGGAGUCUGCAACUCGACUUCAUGAAGUCGGAAUCGCUAGUAAUCGCGGAUCAGAACGUCGCGGUGAAUGCGUUCCCGGGCCUUGUACACACCGCCCGU
This 498-nucleotide ribosomal RNA is filed under the name uncultured bacterium. RNAcentral's name for it is "bacterial SSU rRNA". It matches the Rfam family "Bacterial small subunit ribosomal RNA", at positions 899 to 1397 of the family's 1533-position model. The record is from RNAcentral.